This 119-nucleotide ribosomal RNA is filed under the name Pelobates cultripes (western spadefoot toad). Lineage: Eukaryota; Metazoa; Chordata; Amphibia; Anura; Pelobatidae. The record is from RNAcentral.
GCCUACGGCCAUACCAGUCUGAUAGUGCCUGAUCUCGUCAGAUCUCAGAAGUUAUGCAGACUUGGGCCUGCUUAGUUCUUGUAUGGGAGACCAACUAGGAACCUCAGGUGCCUUAAGCU